AUGAAACACUCCUACGGGAGGCAGCAGUGGGGAAUUUUGGACAAUGGGCGAAAGCCUGAUCCAGCAAUGCCGCGUGAGUGAAGAAGGCCUUCGGGUUGUAAAGCUCUUUUGUCAGGGAAGAAACGGUGAGAGCUAAUAUCUCUUGCUAAUGACGGUACCUGAAGAAUAAGCACCGGCUAACUACGUGCCAGCAGCCGCGGUAAUACGUAGGGUGCAAGCGUUAAUCGGAAUUACUGGGCGUAAAGCGUGCGCAGGCGGUUUUGUAAGUCUGAUGUGAAAUCCCCGGGCUCAACCUGGGAAUUGCAUUGGAGACUGCAAGGCUAGAAUCUUGCAGAGGGGGGUAGAAUUCCACGUGUAGCAGUGCAAUGCGUAGAUAUGUGGAGGAACACCGAUGGCGAAGGCAGCCCCAUGGGUCAAGAUUGACGCUCAUGCACGAAAGCGUGGGGAGCAAACAGGAUUAGAAACCCGAGUAGUCCGAAGUUC
RNAcentral lists this ribosomal RNA (483 nucleotides) under uncultured bacterium. Its description in RNAcentral is "bacterial SSU rRNA". It matches the Rfam family "Bacterial small subunit ribosomal RNA", at positions 328 to 802 of the family's 1533-position model. The record is from RNAcentral.